GACAGAGGGUGCGAACGUUGUUCGGAAUUACUGGGCGUAAAGCGCGUGUAGGCUGACCGGAGAGUCGGGCGUGAAAUCCCUGAGCUCAACUCAGGAACUGCACUCGAAACUCUCGGUCUAGAGUGGUGGAGAGGGAAGUGGAAUUCCUGGUGUAGAGGUGAAAUUCGUAGAUAUCAGGAGGAACACCAGUGGCGAAGGCGGCUUCCUGGACACCAACUGACGCUGAGACGCGAAAGCGUGGGGAGCAAACAGG
This 253-nucleotide ribosomal RNA is filed under the name uncultured bacterium. Its description in RNAcentral is "partial 16S ribosomal RNA". It matches the Rfam family "Bacterial small subunit ribosomal RNA", at positions 524 to 776 of the family's 1533-position model. The record is from RNAcentral.